GGGGCUGACUGGUUUUGACAGCGUGUAGAAGUGGUGAGCAAGCAUGCAGAGCGAUGAUGCCCACGCUCUUUAAUCAGAGACAUCAAAAUUUUAAAUGGCGAAAACAACUACGCUCUCGCUGCUUAAUCGAAGUACAGUAAAUUAAGCUUUAUCCGCGCCAAAGUGGCGCAGACGAGACAUCGCCCGAUUGUCAAUCUUCCUUGGACUAAUCGAUAUGGCGGUGCAGCUAAACAAGGAAUAGGGUGCCGACAGUUCCGGAAAGUAUCCGAAAGUUUAGGAACUAAGCGCUGUGUUGGCAGUCUAUAGCCUGCCCGGCGACGAAAACCAACAGUAGACUAAGCAUGUAGAAACCUCAUUAGUUCCGCGUUUGGACGAGGGUUCAACCCCCUCCAGCUCCACU
RNAcentral lists this transfer-messenger RNA (400 nucleotides) under pig gut metagenome. It matches the Rfam family "transfer-messenger RNA". From Rfam's summary of the family: Bacterial tmRNA, also known as 10Sa RNA or SsrA, is named for its dual tRNA and mRNA-like properties. Its role is to liberate the mRNA from a stalled ribosome. The record is from RNAcentral.